Molecule: ribosomal RNA, 305 nt
Filed under: uncultured bacterium
Lineage: Bacteria
Description: bacterial SSU rRNA
Rfam family: Bacterial small subunit ribosomal RNA
Source: RNAcentral
UCCUACGGGAGGCAGCAGUGGGGAAUAUUGCACAAUGGGCGAAAGCCUGAUGCAGCAACGCCGCGUGAACGAAGAAGGCUCUUGGGUCGUAAAGUUCUGUUCUGAGGGAAGAAGAAAGUGACGGUACCUCAGGAGAAAGCCCCGGCUAACUACGUGCCAGCAGCCGCGGCAAUACGUAUGGUGCAAGCGUUAUCCGGAUUUACUGGGUGUAAAGGGAGCGCAGGCGGUGCGGCAAGUCUGAUGUGAAAGCCCGGGGCUCAACCCCGGGACUGCAUUGGAAACUACCGAACUAGAGAGUCGGAGAG